Molecule: unclassified non-coding RNA, 334 nt
Filed under: soil metagenome
Description: partial contains 5.8S ribosomal RNA, internal transcribed spacer 2, and large subunit ribosomal RNA
Rfam family: 5.8S ribosomal RNA (bases 1-120)
Source: RNAcentral
GAUGAAGAACGCAGCGAAAUGCGAUAAGUAAUGUGAAUUGCAGAAUUCAGUGAAUCAUCGAAUCUUUGAACGCACAUUGCGCCCGCCAGUAUUCUGGCGGGCAUGCCUGUUCGAGCGUCAUUUCAACCAUCAAGCCCCGGGCUUGUGUUGGGGACCUGCGGCUGCCGCAGGCCCUGAAAAGCAGUGGCGGGCUCGCUGUCACACCGAGCGUAGUAGCAUACAUCUCGCUCUGGGCGUGCUGCGGGUUCCGGCCGUUAAACCCCCUUUAACCCAAGGUUGACCUCGGAUCAGGUAGGAAGACCCGCUGAACUUAAGCAUAUCAAUAAGCGGAGGA